This 68-nucleotide transfer RNA is filed under the name Uniomerus tetralasmus. RNAcentral describes it as "tRNA-Arg". The record is from RNAcentral. Lineage: Eukaryota; Metazoa; Mollusca; Bivalvia; Unionida; Unionidae.
AAGCAAGACACAUAAAAGUAUUAUGGUUUCGGCCCAUAAAUAGGUAUAGACAUUAAUACCCUCGCUUU